This is a long non-coding RNA of Pygocentrus nattereri (red-bellied piranha), 399 nucleotides long. RefSeq lists it as uncharacterized. The transcript has 2 exons. The record is from RefSeq and is a predicted model, not a curated record. Lineage: Eukaryota; Metazoa; Chordata; Actinopteri; Characiformes; Serrasalmidae.
UAUUACCAUUUUCUUAACUAAAGAACCCUUUUUUCCUCUACAGUAACAAGCCUGACACCAUAACAAUAGCAGCUGCAGGAUCCCGCGCGCACAAUCAAUCACGUUUAAAAAUUCAAAUUUUAACGGUCACUCGCGGAUUUAACGGAUCCGUAACCGUAACUCUGUUCUCAAAACAAAGUGAUACCCAUGAGCCACAACCUUUUUACUGAUUGUGACUGCAUGGUUUGCUGUGAUUGGCUAAUGGAAGCUGCACAGUGUGUACACCCCUACCCACCACAUCCUACCCCAACGUGGGAGCAGGGGUUUCAUUCAGAUACUGCAAAGUUCUGGAGCUGUCAAAUGAUCUUCGUCAUCAUGUCUGCUUGUGCCACCAAAAAAUAAAAUUGUGCAUCAAACUGU